UACGGGGGGGGCAAGCGUUAUCCGGAAUGAUUGGGCGUAAAGCGUCUGUAGGUGGCUUUUUAAGUCUGCCGUCAAAUCCCAGGGCUUAACCCUGGACAGGCGGUGGAAACUACCAAGCUGGAGUACGGUAGGGGCAGAGGGAAUUUCCGGUGGGAGCGGUGAAAUGCGUAGAUAUCUGGAGGAACACCGGUGGCGAAGGCGGCAUUCGUGGACCGAUAUUGACACUGAGGCGCGAAAGCCAGGGAGCAAACGGG
RNAcentral lists this ribosomal RNA (254 nucleotides) under uncultured bacterium. Its description in RNAcentral is "partial 16S ribosomal RNA". It matches the Rfam family "Bacterial small subunit ribosomal RNA", at positions 524 to 776 of the family's 1533-position model. The record is from RNAcentral.